Molecule: long non-coding RNA, 688 nt
Organism: Rhincodon typus (whale shark)
Lineage: Eukaryota; Metazoa; Chordata; Chondrichthyes; Orectolobiformes; Rhincodontidae
Exons: 3
Source: RefSeq, a predicted model, not a curated record
CUCAAUCGGUUGGAGGACAAGCAGUUCCGCUGCCAUCCACCAGUCCCGCCCCUUCCUUGCUAUUGGUCGUGUGACGUCAUCAAACCGGCGUGUAGCUAUAGAGCAUGCGCACAGCUAAUUGUGGAUUGUAUCAGAGAUAGUCGGAACUGCAGAAUCUGAGAUAAUAAGGUGUAGAGCUGGGUGAACACAGCAGGCCAAGCAGCAAAACUGACGUUUCGGGACUAGAUUCUUCUUCAGAAAUAAUUGCGUGCCGGCAGCGACGGAAGGAAUGAAAACCAAAAAAACUGCGGAUGCUGUAAAUCAGGAACAAAAACAAAGCUGCUGGAAUAGCUCAGCAGGUCUGGCAGCAUCUGUCGAUGAGAAAACAGAGUGAACGUUUCGGGUUCGGUGACCCUUCCUCAGAAAUUCUGCUGACCUUUUCCAGUCUUUCAUGACAUCCACAAAUGAACAUUCAACAAUUUGAGAACUGGAUAGAAAACGAGAGACAGAGCAGCCACUCCAGAAGCUUCCAAAAUCAGUCUGCACCUUGACCUUCUUGAAUGGUUGCACUCGGAGUGCUGAAGUUGCUCCCAGAUUGCUGUCUGGCGAUCAGAAGUGGACACAUUACCCCAGAAGGCGCCUCACUGAUGUUCUGUACAAGCUCAACAUAACAUCCCAACUCCUCUCAAACGUCUGAGCAAUGAAGGUA